CUCCCAAAGUGCUGGGAUUACAGGGCAUGAGCCACCAUUCCUGGCCUAGCCCCUGGCAUUUUAAAACAAAACAGUGGGUUGUUGGGAAGUAGUAAACUUUAAUUAACUUGAAUUCAAGUACAUAUGCAUCAAAAUAAAGACUUCCAGCACAAGUGCAAUGGGAAUAACACAUUUGGGUUAAGUCUGGAUCUGGUGCUGUUGGGAUUGUGUGUGGCUUUGAUAUGACUUUGGAAUUCUUGUGACAGAAUUGGCUUUGAGUUAUCCUUGGGGCAUAGUCACUUAGUCAUGGUGACCAUUUGUUUCUCACCAUAUGAACAGUCUGAUCAUUUCCAUUAUCUCAUUUAGUUCACAAAAUAAUCCUGCUUGUAAUUAUUCGUAUAUUUCAGACAAGGACAGCGAGGUUUUGAGAGAUCAAUUUUAUCUGGUGAACACUAAUGUUUGAAUAUAAAAAUCUCAUUUUAAUAUGGUGGAAGACCAUGAAAUCUUAGCAUUCGAGGGACCUUAACUUUUAUUUACCCUUCUCUCCUUUCUAAUUCCCUUCUGCUCCAUUCUAGAGAGGUGACCAUUCAACACAUGCUUAGGAUGAAUCUGCUAGAUUCUUAGAGAGAGGCUUAAUAGCUCACAGAAUCAUUUAUAGUUUAAAAGAGUUCUAGAAACAGGGCACUCACAAACAUGAUGGUACAUAUCUACUUACCGAAGCUCUUCUGCCUUUUCCAUUUUGUGGCCAUCAACCAGAACCCUCAUGAGAAUUCUCACGUCCUAGUUCGGAGAGUUAGACACACAGAGACUGUGUGCAGUCCUUCAUUUUGCAGAAAAGAUGACUAUCUAAUUUUAAAUACAUUUCAAAGAGUUAGCCAUUGGAUUGAAAGGUCAAAUCUAAAAAAAAAUGAAAUAUGAAAUAGACCAUCUUAUCCUUUAGGCACAAAUCAAUACUUAAAGAGAACGAGGCACAUUAAAAUGAAGAAUAGGUUCAGUAUAAUUUGUAAUCAAACCGUCAAACCUUCCCGCUGAUGAUUGUGUAACUUUACAUUUUAAAAAUUGCUAAACUGAGAAAGAAAACAACUUCUGCCAAAUGCUGAAGUAUGUUUUGUGCCUGUUAAGUUUUAAAUAAAUCUUUUAAACUUUGGCAGGAAAUCAGAUAUCUGAGUAAUAAAAGAAAUUUAUUAUUAUUUUGAUGAUAUGCUUAGUAUCAUAUUGUUUAACUUUGAACCCUUUCUUUUAAAGUGAGUAAAAUGGCAAGCUGUGGAAAAGAGUUAAAAUUUUUACCUACUACUUCUCUUAAGGAUAAUAGUAAUUUCUUAAGAGACACUAAUUUAAUUUUCCUCCUAUACUGUGCAAAAAGAAAUGUCCUGGUCCUUUUAACUGAUAUGAUUUUUGGCUUUGCUUUAAAUUAUUGAUUACAUUUUAAAAGGGGAGGGACUUUCUGAUGAGAAUAGCACUCUCUUUAAUAGCCUUUCACAAAAUCAAUUUCCCCCAUUCCUGUCGUACUCCUUUGCCGUAUUGACGGUUAAGAACCUUGGAAAGAAUCUUUGUUUCCUAAAUUUAUCUUAAUAAUUUUUCAUUAUUUUACACCUGCAUGUUUAUUCAAGCAAUUUGAAAUAAAGAUCUUUUUGAAUGAUUUCUUCAGUGCUUUCACGAGGGCUGUGUAAGGGACUUUGCUAUUUAGGUGGCACUCAUGAGUGAUGGAUUAAUGCAGUAGAUUCCAGGACCAGAUGUCCCUGUUUCUAGAUCUCAGCUCUUGAAUGGAGUAAGUCAGAUCCUGCAUCAGUGUCUUUCAAACUGGAGGCAGUUCAGUAUGAACACAUUUUUCCUAGUGGCCUCGUUCCCAGCUCAUCCAGACAAGGAAGCAUUGAUACCAUUUGCACGUGGAACUUCAGCAAUGUAAUGUCCAGGCAAAUGAGUAUGUGUGCAUUAUGUGUACUCUCCCACACAAAAUCUGAUUCUACUUGGGCUAAUUCACUAAAUUCUUGUUUACACAUGAAGCUGUUUAUUUUGCUUUGAAUGGGAAGCUGUUUUGGAGUCAUGUGAAGAAGGAUAGAAAACUACUGAGAAAUGUAGCUCAAAAACCUGGAGGAUGCUGGUAGCAGAUGAGUUGGGAGUGGAUUGCAUGGUGACAACCAGAGAGCAGUAAAAUCUUGUUGAUAAGACAGUGUUUUUCUCUAGUGGUUUGUAUUCAGGCUUCCUCUUCAGUCUCACUAAAUGGCCUCACAGGUGGGUAGAUGCAUUUGUCUUGAAAGGUGACUGUUACCAAAUACAAAUCUUGUAGAUGCACAUUUAUCUUGAAAAGUGACUGUUACCAAAUAAAAAUUUAAGUUAUAUCUCAGCAUGGAGACCACGGCUCUGGUCAGGUAGGAGCCAAAUGUCCUUAGCCUGAAUGUGUGACUAGAAGAAUAUGUGACUUAGUCCAGUUUCAUAGCUGCCUGAUUUGGGGCAAGCUUGCUGACUUGGGUCUGGGCACCACAUCUUUGACAGUUGUCAAGUAUGCUGUGGGCUAAAUACCCAAGGUUAAGAAAACAAUCCAGGCAUAGGCUAUUUCUGGCCACCCUUUCUUCCAUCUUCUAUAUGAGCACCUUGUUGUAGGUACAAAAGAGAACAUUUCUAUUAUAUUUACACGAGAGUUGCUGAACCAUUUUUCCACUGCUUCUACCAUGAAGCCUCUGAUUGCCUGCCACAUCACUAUGUCACACCCUCCUGAGCCUUGGAGCUGGAGUUUGUGUUUUACAUUCUAUCUUAUAUGAAACUCCUGUGCACAUUUGUUUUAUCUCCAUUAGAACUAAGGCUCUUUGAGGUGACAGCAAUGUCUCCAGUGUCUUUCUGGUGAUCAUUUUUAUAUCUGUCACACACUGUAGUCAUUCCUAGCCUCGGACCUCUUGGGAAUCAGGUGAUAUUUCAGUCUGUAUGUACACCAUGUGUUUUAUAUGUGUGUGACUCUUUUUCAAAUAUUAAUAUAUAUAGACGCUCUUGAGACUAUUAAAACACAAGUUUCUUUAAAAGUUUAUUGAGACCAGGUGCAGUGGCUCACACCUGUAAACCCAGCACUUUGGGAGGCCGAAGUGGGAGGAUCACCUGAGGUCAGAAAUUCGAGACCAGCUUGGCCAACAUGGCGAAACUCUGUCUUUACUAAAAAUACAAAAAUUAGUUGGGUGUGGUAGUGGGUGCCGGUAAUCCCAGCUACUUGGGAGGCUGUAGCAUGAGAAUCGCUUGAACCUGGGAGUUGGAGAUUGCAGUGAGCUGAGAUUAUGCCAGUGCACAGCUGGGGAGACAAGAGCAAAACUCCGUCUUAAAAAAAAAAAAAACAACUAUAUUGAAUUCAUUACAGUAUGGUUCUUUUCUUAAUUAGUAUUUACUAAGAAUAAAAUAAAAGACACCUACAUGCUUCCAUGUUGAGAGCCACUGCCCUUCAGCAUCUAGCAAGGUGCUUUGCAUUUUGAGAUAUUUCCUCAUCUCAAGCCUUCUUUGGCUCUGUGUUUCUUCUGUGAGGUAUGUGAAGAAGAUGGACAGUGCAUUUCCUUUGUAUCAGUAAUAACCAUUUCAGUUCUUUAAUAAUUUGAAUGAAAAUCUAUUUUUUUUUGAGACAAAGUCUCUGUCACCAGGCUGGAGUGCAGUGGCUCAAUCAUAGCUCACUGUAGCCUCGACCUCCUGGGCUCAAGUGAUCCUCCCACCUCAGCCUCCCAAGUAUCUGAGACCACUGCCAUGAGCCAUCAUGCUCAGCUAAUUUUUUUUAUUUUUUAUAGGAUGGGGUCUCACUAUGUUGCCCAUGUUGCUCAGGCUGAUCUCAAACUCCUAGGCUCAAGCUAAUCCUCCUGCCUUGGCCUCCCAAAGUGCUGGAAUUACAGGCAUGAGCCACCUUGCCCCAUCUGAAUAAAUAGGAAAUUAAUGUUCACUUCCAGCCCUAGACUGGAAGCUCCUGAGCCCCAGUGCUGUGUCUGUUUAGGAUCUAUUGCUUAACAGAUUGAUGACCCUCACAUAGGAAGUUCAGUACACAUUAGUGGUCAGAGGCUCCAUGAUCACAGCUGUUAAGUGUUUUUAACUGCUGUUUAAUCUCUAGGCACUUUACUAAUUUUUAAAAGUUGGAAAUUCCUAUGGUAAUAUGAUUCCCAAAGAAAGGUCUCCAGUCCCUUAACUAAAAGAUUUAGAAUACCUUAGCUAACCUUAGAGUUAAAGCAAAAUGUCUGCCCCCUGGUGUCAGAUCAACAACUAGCAUCUUAGCUAAUUCUCAUAGUGAGUUCCAUUAAUUAUAUGAUUUAGUUUUUACAGUAAAUUAUACAUUGCACAUAAAAUUAAAAAUAAGCACCAUUUUAAACUUGCCACUCGCUGCUAUGAAACUGGGAUUUUUGGCUUAUAUUCAACAUUGUUGGUUUUUUUCAUGUCUAAAUAAUAAUUUGAAAUUAAAGUCUAAUUUUAGUAAAUUUUCUAUAUGCUAUUAACUCUGUAGCACUGAAUUUUAUAGAGGAGAGAAAUAAUGAAGGUUUUAUGUGAAACAAAAAUAGCCUUAAACAUUAUUAAUAUUUUAUGAGUUUGUAUAAAUCUUCAUACUGCAGAUAGUUUUCCUAAUAUUUUUGGCCA
RNAcentral lists this long non-coding RNA (4566 nucleotides) under Homo sapiens (human). Its description in RNAcentral is "HSALNT0319312". The record is from RNAcentral. Lineage: Eukaryota; Metazoa; Chordata; Mammalia; Primates; Hominidae.